RNAcentral lists this small RNA (85 nucleotides) under Shimwellia blattae DSM 4481 = NBRC 105725. RNAcentral's name for it is "Escherichia blattae DSM 4481 CyaR/Rye RNA". It matches the Rfam family "CyaR/Rye RNA". From Rfam's summary of the family: This sRNA was originally identified in a large scale screen of E. coli. It was shown to bind Hfq and called RyeE. This sRNA has since been characterised as a post-transcriptional regulator of the 18 kDa OmpX porin in Salmonella. Lineage: Bacteria; Pseudomonadati; Pseudomonadota; Gammaproteobacteria; Enterobacterales; Enterobacteriaceae. The record is from Rfam by way of RNAcentral.
GUGCUGCAAUUACAUAUCCUACAAAGCAACCUAUACCAGGAACCACCUCCUUGGCCUGCCCGAUCUCCCUCGGGCAGGCCGAUUU